CGGUAACACGUAGGGACCAAGCGUUGUCCGGAUUUAUUGGGCGUAAAGAGCUCGUAGGCGGUUUCGUAAGUCGGAUGUGAAAACUCAGGGCUCAACCCUGAGACGCCAUCUGAUACUGCGAUGACUAGAGUCCGGUAGGGGAGCAUGGAAUUCCUGGUGUAGCGGUGGAAUGCGCAGAUAUCAGGAGGAACACCAAUGGCGAAGGCAGUGCUCUGGGCCGGUACUGACGCUGAGGAGCGAAAGCAUGGGGAGCAAACAGGAUUAGAUACCCUGGUAGUCCAUGCCGUAAACGUUGGGCACUAGGUGUGGGGUCUUCUAACGGAUUCCGUGCCGUAGCUAACGCAUUAAGUGCCCCGCCUGGGGAGUACGGCCGCAAGGCUAAAACUCGAAGGAAUUGACGGGGGCCCGCACAAGCGGCGGAGCAUGUUGCUUAAUUCGAGGCAACGCGAAGAACCUUACCUGGGUUUGACAUGUAUCGAAAAGCCAUAGAGAUAUGGUGUCCUUCGGGGCGAUACACAGGUGGUGCAUGGCUGUCGUCAGCUCGUGUCGUGAGAUGUUGGGUUAAGUCCCGCAACGAGCGCAACCCUCGUCCUAUGUUGCCAGCACGUAAUGGUGGGGACUCGUAGGAGACUGCCGGGGUCAACUCGGAGGAAGGUGGGGAUGACGUCAAGUCAUCAUGCCCCUUAUAUCCAGGGCUGCAAACAUGCUACAAUGGCCGAUACAGAGGGCUGCGAGACCGCGAGGUCAAGCGAAUCCCAUAAAGUCGGUCUCAGUUCGGAUUGGAGUCUGCAACUCGACUCCAUGAAGCUGGAGUCGCUAGUAAUCCCGGAUCAGCAACGCCGGGGUGAAUACGUUCCCGGG
Molecule: ribosomal RNA, 861 nt
Filed under: uncultured bacterium
Lineage: Bacteria
Description: bacterial SSU rRNA
Rfam family: Bacterial small subunit ribosomal RNA
Source: RNAcentral